UUAAGCGACUAAGCGUACACGGUGGAUGCCCUGGCAGUCAGAGGCGAUGAAGGACGUGCUAAUCUGCGAAAAGCGUCGGUAAGGUGAUAUGAACCGUUAUAACCGGCGAUGUCCGAAUGGGGAAACCCAGUGCAAUUCGUUGCACUAUCGUUAACUGAAUACAUAGGUUAACGAGGCGAACCGGGGGAACUGAAACAUCUAAGUACCCCGAGGAAAAGAAAUCAACCGAGAUUCCCCCAGUAGCGGCGAGCGAACGGGGAGCAGCCCAGAGUCUGAAUCAGCUUGUGUGUUAGUGGAACGGUCUGGAAAGUCCGACGGUACAGGGUGAUAGUCCCGUACACCAAAAUGCACAGGUUGUGAACUCGAAGAGUAGGGCGGGACACGUGGUAUCCUGUCUGAAUAUGGGGGGACCAUCCUCCAAGGCUAAAUACUCCUGACUGACCGAUAGUGAACCAGUACCGUGAGGGAAAGGCGAAAAGAACCCCGGCGAGGGGAGUGAAAAAGAACCUGAAACCGUGUACGUACAAGCAGUGGGAGCACCUUCGGGUGUGACUGCGUACCUUUUGUAUAAUGGGUCAGCGACUUAUAUUCUGUAGCAAGGUUAACCGUAUAGGGGAGCCGCAGGGAAACCGAGUCUUAACUGGGCGUUAAGUUGCAGGGUAUAGACCCGAAACCCGGUGAUCUAGCCAUGGGCAGGUUGAAGGUUGGGUAACACUAACUGGAGGACCGAACCGACUAAUGUUGAAAAAUUAGCGGAUGACUUGUGGCUGGGGGUGAAAGGCCAAUCAAACCGGGAGAUAGCUGGUUCUCCCCGAAAGCUAUUUAGGUAGCGCCUCGUGAAUUCAUCUUCGGGGGUAGAGCACUGUUUCGGCUAGGGGGUCAUCCCGACUUACCAACCCGAUGCAAACUACGAAUACCGAAGAAUGUUAUCACGGGAGACACACGGCGGGUGCUAACGUCCGUCGUGAAGAGGGAAACAACCCAGACCGCCAGCUAAGGUCCCAAAGUCAUGGUUAAGUGGGAAACGAUGUGGGAAGGCACAGACAGCCAGGAUGUUGGCUUAGAAGCAGCCAUCAUUUAAAGAAAGCGUAAUAGCUCACUGGUCGAGUCGGCCUGCGCGGAAGAUGUAACGGGGCUAAACCAUGCACCGAAGCUGCGGCAGCGACACUAUGUGUUGUUGGGUAGGGGAGCGUUCUGUAAGCCUGCGAAGGUGUGCUGUGAGGCAUGCUGGAGGUAUCAGAAGUGCGAAUGCUGACAUAAGUAACGAUAAAGCGGGUGAAAAGCCCGCUCGCCGGAAGACCAAGGGUUCCUGUCCAACGUUAAUCGGGGCAGGGUGAGUCGACCCCUAAGGCGAGGCCGAAAGGCGUAGUCGAUGGGAAACAGGUUAAUAUUCCUGUACUUGGUGUUACUGCGAAGGGGGGACGGAGAAGGCUAUGUUAGCCGGGCGACGGUUGUCCCGGUUUAAGCAUGUAGGCUGAUUGUCCAGGCAAAUCCGGAUAAUCAAGGCUGAGGUGUGAUGACGAGGCACUACGGUGCUGAAGUAACAAAUGCCCUGCUUCCAGGAAAAGCCUCUAAGCAUCAGGUAACAUCAAAUCGUACCCCAAACCGACACAGGUGGUCAGGUAGAGAAUACCAAGGCGCUUGAGAGAACUCGGGUGAAGGAACUAGGCAAAAUGGUGCCGUAACUUCGGGAGAAGGCACGCUGGUGUGUAGGUGAAGUCCCUGCGGAUGGAGCUGAGACCAGUCGAAGAUACCAGCUGGCUGCAACUGUUUAUUAAAAACACAGCACUGUGCAAACACGAAAGUGGACGUAUACGGUGUGACGCCUGCCCGGUGCCGGAAGGUUAAUUGAUGGGGUUAUCCGUAAGGAGAAGCUCUUGAUCGAAGCCCCGGUAAACGGCGGCCGUAACUAUAACGGUCCUAAGGUAGCGAAAUUCCUUGUCGGGUAAGUUCCGACCUGCACGAAUGGCGUAAUGAUGGCCAGGCUGUCUCCACCCGAGACUCAGUGAAAUUGAACUCGCUGUGAAGAUGCAGUGUACCCGCGGCAAGACGGAAAGACCCCGUGAACCUUUACUAUAGCUUGACACUGAACAUUGAGCCUUGAUGUGUAGGAUAGGUGGGAGGCUUUGAAGCGUGGACGCCAGUCUGCGUGGAGCCAACCUUGAAAUACCACCCUUUAAUGUUUGAUGUUCUAACGUUGGCCCCUUACCGGGGUUGCGGACAGUGUCUGGUGGGUAGUUUGACUGGGGCGGUCUCCUCCCAAAGCGUAACGGAGGAGCACGAAGGUUAGCUAAUCCUGGUCGGACAUCAGGAGGUUAGUGCAAUGGCAUAAGCUAGCUUGACUGCGAGCGUGACGGCGCGAGCAGGUGCGAAAGCAGGUCAUAGUGAUCCGGUGGUUCUGAAUGGAAGGGCCAUCGCUCAACGGAUAAAAGGUACUCCGGGGAUAACAGGCUGAUACCGCCCAAGAGUUCAUAUCGACGGCGGUGUUUGGCACCUCGAUGUCGGCUCAUCACAUCCUGGGGCUGAAGUAGGUCCCAAGGGUAUGGCUGUUCGCCAUUUAAAGUGGUACGCGAGCUGGGUUUAGAACGUCGUGAGACAGUUCGGUCCCUAUCUGCCGUGGGCGCUGGAGAAUUGAGGGGGGCUGCUCCUAGUACGAGAGGACCGGAGUGGACGCAUCACUGGUGUUCGGGUUGUCAUGCCAAUGGCACUGCCCGGUAGCUAAAUGCGGAAGAGAUAAGUGCUGAAAGCAUCUAAGCACGAAACUUGCCCCGAGAUGAGUUCUCCCUGAGACUUUAAGUCUCCUGAAGGAACGUUGAAGACGAUGACGUUGAUAGGCCGGGUGUGUAAGCGCAGCGAUGCGUUGAGCUAACCGGUACUAAUGAACCGUGAGGCUUAACCUU
This 2900-nucleotide ribosomal RNA is filed under the name Klebsiella pneumoniae. RNAcentral describes it as "bacterial LSU rRNA". It matches the Rfam family "Bacterial large subunit ribosomal RNA". Lineage: Bacteria; Pseudomonadati; Pseudomonadota; Gammaproteobacteria; Enterobacterales; Enterobacteriaceae. The record is from RNAcentral.